UGAAAGAUGUACCCAUACUUGCAGUGCCAGUUAAAUUUCUACCUUGGUAAAUGUUUUUGACACAAUACGUGUUUAAUGUAAUUAAAAAAGUUAAUCAGCUACAAAGCUGUCAAAGAUUAUGGAAAGGUGGCUGGUGUUCAGAACUGGACAGUGUCAGGACACAAGGUGGCAAAGCUUUCAAUUACCACUUAAAAAAAAAAAAAAAAAAGUCUUUGCACAUUAACAAGAUCAGUCCUCAGCUUCCCCUAUGACGGCUGACUGAGAAGACGUUUUUGCGAAGCGAAUCCAACUGCUCUCAACUGUUUGUAAGAACAGUAAACUCAGGAAUACAACUCACGUCCCAAUCAGCAAGUUCGUCCUGGACCGCAUCUUUGUUUGUGACAAGCACAACAUCUUGUUCUGCCAGACACCCAAAGUUGGAAACACACAAUGGAAGAAGGUCCUCAUUGCUCUCAACGGAACCUUCACCAGUGUGGAGGAGAUCCCGGAGAACCUCGUCCAUGACCAUGAGAAGAACAGCCUGCCCCGCCUCUCGUCGUUCAAACCACAAGAAAUUGCACUCAGCAUUUUUCUAGUUGUGCUGACUGACUAAGUCCAUGAAAAGCAAUGGACCUGAGAUGUGUGGUUUGAAACCUUCAGGAAGUAUCCACAACGUUGUCGACACUUCCUCCCUCCUCCGCCUUUCUUCUGCUGUACACAACAUUAACCAACAAGGAGAGACCACCACAACAAACGCAGCAUCUGCCUAUUGAGGACGACGUGGUGCUUUUGUUGGCAGCGCGCAGGUGCCUGCAAAACAAGCCCGUCACGACCUCCUGCAGCUUCUCUACCAGGCACCCUAACACCGCUUUAACAUGCUCGGCUAGAGACACAAACUUACCCGGAAAGUGGCCGCCGCCGCUGGGGGGCUUUUGGAGUGUCCUGCCUCCGUAUCACGCCGACAUUUGUUACUGUCACUUUAUUGUGGCGACGCAAAACAUCCGGCUGGCUUCGAGCGUGACCCCGCCUGAGUGAGUCAAGCUCAAUGUGGUGACGACACGACUAACUUUCUGGGUGCCUUUCAAAAUAAAAAACCACGAGACUACUUUGCUCUAGGAGUUCUACGACGGCGUUACUGCUAUACUGAGCAACACCGGCCUAACAUUGCUUUGUUCGUAUGGCAUACUUCAUUAAAUUGAGGUGAGUGUCGUUUAGUUGAUUUUAGACGUUCGGUUGGCAUACCCUGUGGAGUUUUAUUUUCCCCAAAAGCGGAAACUACUUUUAUUCUACUUUGGUUUAAUGCCGCCUUUAAGGAUGUAUACCGCCCUCUGCUGUUUCGGAUUAGGUAAGACCAUAACAGACUCUUGUUACCUGCUAUUUA
Entelurus aequoreus (snake pipefish) is the source of this 1360-nucleotide long non-coding RNA. RefSeq lists it as uncharacterized. The record is from RefSeq and is a predicted model, not a curated record. The transcript is spliced from 6 exons. NCBI's taxonomy places the organism in Eukaryota, Metazoa, Chordata, Actinopteri, Syngnathiformes, Syngnathidae.